AUCGAGAUAUCUCAGCAGAGAUUUUACCUCAUGUUUACCUCGCGCAACAAGUUGGAAAAAACGAAAUACAAAUGUCUCGUCACGUCAAGAACAGAGCCGGUAAAAAGCAGGAAAUGGCGACGGAAGCUGUUUUACAGCACUUUUACAAAUAAUACUAACGGAACAUCAUCGACCACAAUUGGAAUAAAAAAGAGAGAGAAGUGCCACACCUACGAAGAUGCAAUCACUGUCUGGAAUGAAGAAGAAAAGCAAGUUCCAUGGACGAGCGAAAUUAUAUACACUGACUAUAAAAAUUGCGCACUAUUGAAGUCGAAAUUCCUAGGAUACCAAGUGUGGGUUGCAGAAAAAUAUCUGAAAGCCAAUAAGGAAAUUCCGUAUCUAUGCGUGCUGUUGUACGAAAUAUACUCCGGGAUCAUUAAAUACUGGAUAUACGACUGGGAAACAUGUGCUGAGAAGACUACAAAUGAUGAAUAAAAAUUCUGUAUUUAGAAACACACAUAAUAAAUAUUACUGCGUUGUGUCUUAUACGAAGCAUACGCGAAUA
Molecule: long non-coding RNA, 544 nt
Organism: Rhipicephalus sanguineus (brown dog tick)
Lineage: Eukaryota; Metazoa; Arthropoda; Arachnida; Ixodida; Ixodidae
Exons: 4
Source: RefSeq, a predicted model, not a curated record